CCUACGGGAGGCAGCAGUCGAGGAUAGUCUACAAUGGUCGAAAGAUUGAUAGUGCGACGCCGCGUGAACGAUGAAGCAUUUCGGUGUGUAAAGUUCUUUUCUAUGCGAGCAGAGGUUUUAUGGUGAAUAAUCAUAGGGCUAGGAUAUUAGUAUAGGAAUAAGCCACGGCUAACUCCGUGCCAGCAGCCGCGGUAAUACGGGGGUGGCGAGCGUUGUCCGGAAUUACUAGGCGUAAAGGGCAGGUAGGCGGAUAGAUAAGUUAAUCGUUAAAGACCGGCGCUCACCGUCGGGGCUGCGGUUGAUACUGUUUAUCUGGAAUCGAGUGGGGGAAGACGGAAUUCCUGGUGUAGCGGUGGAAUGCGCAGAUAUCAGGAGGAACACCGAAGGCGAAGGCAGUCUUCUACGCUUGUAUUGACGCUAAACUGCGGAGGUGCGGGUAUCAAACAGGAUUAGAUACCCUGGUAGUCCGCACAGUAAACGAUAUUCACUAGGUGUUGGCGGGAUAGACCCGUCGGUGCCGUAGCUAACGCGAUAAGUGAAUCGCCUGGGGAGUACGAUCGCAAGGUUGAAACUCAAAGGAAUUGACGG
Molecule: ribosomal RNA, 588 nt
Filed under: uncultured bacterium
Lineage: Bacteria
Description: bacterial SSU rRNA
Rfam family: Bacterial small subunit ribosomal RNA
Source: RNAcentral